RNAcentral lists this long non-coding RNA (517 nucleotides) under Mytilus galloprovincialis (Mediterranean mussel). Lineage: Eukaryota; Metazoa; Mollusca; Bivalvia; Mytilida; Mytilidae. The record is from RNAcentral.
GGUCAAGUCCAUAUCUCAGAUACUAUAAGCAAUAGGGCUAGUAUAUUCGGUGUAUGGAAGGACUGUAAGGUGUACAUGUCCAACUGGCAGGUGUCAUCUGACCUUGACCUCAUUUUCAUGGUUCAGUGGUUAUAGUUAAAUUUUUGUGUUUUGGUCUGUUUUUCUCGAACCAUAUGCAAUAGGUCUACUAUAUUUGAUGUAUGGAAUGAUUGUAAGGUGUACAUGUCUAGCGGGCAGAUGUCAUGUGACCUUGACCUCAUUUUCAUGAUUUAGUGGUCAAAGUUAAGUUUUUGAGUUUUGGUCUUUUUAUCUAAUACUAUAUGCCAUAGGUAAACUAUAUUUGGUGUAUGGAAAUAUUUUAUGAUCUUUAUGUCAGUCGCGCAGGUUUUAUUUGACCGUGACCUCAUUUUCACGGUUCAUUGCACAGUGUUAAGUUUUUGUGUUUUGGUCUAUUUUUCUUAAACUAUAAGUAAUGGGUCAAUUUUAUAUGUUGUAUAGAAGCAUUGUUAGCUGUACA